UGGGAGAGAAAUUCCAAGUACAGUAACAUUUGACCUCAGGAUUUCUACUGAAAGGGGGACCAAAAUGAAUGAUAAGAGAUGAAGUUGAAGUCGACGUGUGAAAUUUAGUGUGAAGUAAAAAAUUCUUCCAUUUCCCAAAUUUUCAGGAAAGGGGUUCCUGAAUCCCAAGGGAGAUGGAACUGAGCCUUCUAUGGAGCCGGGAUGCCUGGAAUACCCUUGGGCACAGGGAAUUCCAAAGAGUUAUCCAGAUCGAGUCCUGCAGCCCAAGAACAGCAGUAGAGUCCAUGGGGAAGGUGAAGAGGGUCAGGUAACUGGAUGCUGAAAGCACCCAAGAGUCCGUAUUUUGUCUUGGAUACCUAGAGAUUUAGUCCACCUGACAGGUGGAGAUCGUCAGUCCGGGCUCCAGUAGGGAGCACCGGCUCCCACCACGGAACAGCAGUAAGUAAGUGGUCUCCACUGGGCAGGUCGUCAGAAAAGGCUGCUGGCGGCAACUGAACAGAGGUACGAGGUGGUGGGGAAGAAGAAUGUCCUGAAUGGUUAUCUCUGUGGGGGACUUUGGGUAGUGUGGCACGUCAGCCCAAUACAGGCUCAUUGGAGCUUUUUCACUUCCAAACCUGUGAAAAGAAUAUCUGUUUCCUCCAGCAGAAAAGUAUCAUCCACCUUCCUGGAAGAAUGAGGUGAAGUCACAGGCAGAGGAAAAAUAUAGACCUGGCCGCUGAAGGGGUCCUUGCUGGCCUGGCAGCUGUCCCUGCAGCCCCAUAUUGCAAGGGGGAAGCAGGGGCAAUGCAGUGAGGGGGUAGCUGGAAAAUUGGGGGCGAGGUGGUUGAAAAGAAGGCCUUACCCCACUUGUGGCACCACCCCAGAUCCUCACUGGGAAUAGCACUGCAAGGGGGACUGUGGCAAGGGAGGAGAGGGGAUUAUGGAAGGGCUCCUGGCUGGCCACGCCUUUCCUCUUUCUGUUUACCCUCCCCUCUUUACCUCACCUCUUUCAGUCUCCCUCUUUGUUCCAACCCAUUUCUUCCCUAUUUUCCCCGACCUCUUCCUCCAACACAUUUCACACACAAAUGGCUCCCGUCAUUCUCGGAGUGCUGUGCCCUGGCCCGGUGAGAAGGUCCGGCUUCCUCUCAAAUUUACCGACCUGCUGCCUGCCAUCCCAGGACAGGUUCCAGAGCCCCAGCCGAGAGCACCCUUGGUCAGGGAAGAAAAAGGCAGAGCAAGACCCCAUCCCUGACCAGUGAAGAAUUUGUGUGAUGGCUUCUGCAUCAAUGACCUGGCACCUGUCCCUGCUGCUCUAUAUUUCAGGGGGAAGCAGGGGCAGCAUGCUUCUGAACAUUCCUGGACUCCAGUCCCCACCCGGCUAGCCAGCUUGUCCAGCUUCUUCUGGAAUUUUCUUGCCAUCAGCCAUCCUAGGAUAUUCCCAACUCACUAUUCCCUUGCACCCCAACUGAGUCAAUCCCAAGCAGGUGGACAAAAUGGUAAGAGAAACCCUCUCUCCAGGAAAAGCUUCAUGUAAGAGGUAAGGACACAGGGGAGGGAAAGGAAGGAAGACAAACACUCUGGAGGGAAGGCUAGAGGGAGAGUUUAAUUUAAUAAUAUCCUGGUGAGAAGAAGGGCAACUGAAUAUGGGAGUUAUUUGACUUUCUUUUUGGAUCAACCUCCUGGUUAGGUCUUUUAAUGAAUUAUUCAUUGGAGAAAUGAGUUGAAGUUACAGGUGGUGCAGGAGAACAUCCCUGGCUCAUGAAGGAAUCCUGUGAUUGUUUCUGUAUCCCUGGCCUGGCUGCUGUCCCUGCAGCCCCAUUUUGCAGGGGGGAAGCAGGGACAGUUGGGUGAGUGGCGGGUUAGGAGGUAGUAAUUGAGGUGUUUAACCCAGUUAGCACUGCCACUAGGUGCCCCCUAGUUCUCAGUGAGAGCAACAAUGCAGGGGGCACAGAGGCAGUGGAGGGAGGAAAGGGAGGAGGGGAUUAAUGGGGGUCUUCUAUUUUGGCCUUUCCUUUCCUCUUUCUGUUCACCCCAGUUUCAUUGCCUCACCUCUCUAAGUCUUCCUCUGUUUUUAUGCAUCCCCUUCCUUCUCCCUCCCCAUCAACUCCCCAGCAGUCCUCUUAGUCAGACAGCACCCAGAUUCGAGGCCACGAGCCCCAGAAGGAGCCGUACGGUCCAGCCUGCAGACAGACAUCUCAGACGUGAUUGACUCAUUCCUUAGCACUACAGCUGUGAUCUCCCCGGGCCAGUGGAGGAUAUGGCAGGAGAAUCCCUGUUUGGAGGAAAAAAUUGGACGUAAGAGGAAGGAUUCGGGAAGAGGGAAGUCACAUGCUUCCAAAGGUGCCUGAGGAACUACCCUGAGGGGAAUCAGGAUGGACAGAGCAGGUCCCAGAGGAGGAAGAAGAUCUGAGGGGAAAUCCAGGAGACCCAGGGACACCAAGACAUUUGCCUCAUAAAAGAAAAAAAUAAGUAUCUCCAAUCGUUUCUGGUGUGAGAGGAAAUUCUGAUAGCGUUUACCCCAAAUGAACCUUGUUCCUAGCCAUUAGCAUGUUUUACCUCCAGUAUCUUUCUCUCAAACGUACCAAUAAGACAUCGGAGAAAUAAAUGAGUGCACAUUUUCCUCAUACAGUAUUUGCCCAAUCCGUUUUCAGAGGAAAA
This is a long non-coding RNA of Ornithorhynchus anatinus (platypus), 2637 nucleotides long. RefSeq lists it as uncharacterized. The transcript is spliced from 6 exons. The record is from RefSeq and is a predicted model, not a curated record. Lineage: Eukaryota; Metazoa; Chordata; Mammalia; Monotremata; Ornithorhynchidae.